ACAAGGAGAGUUUGAUCCUGGCUCAGGAUGAACGCUAGCGGCAGGCCUCAUACAUGCAAGUCGAGGGGCAACAGGACACUUCGGUGUUGCUGGCGACCGGCGCACGGGUGCGUAACACGUAUGCAAUCUGCCUUGUACUGGGGGAUAGCUCUCGGAAACGAGAAUUAAUACCCCAUAUUAUCUCAUUAACACAUGUUAGCGAGAUGAAAGCUCCGGCGGUACAAGAUGAGCAUGCGUCCCAUUAGCUAGUUGGUGAGGUAACGGCUCACC
RNAcentral lists this ribosomal RNA (270 nucleotides) under Rhizobium leguminosarum. RNAcentral describes it as "partial 16S ribosomal RNA". It matches the Rfam family "Bacterial small subunit ribosomal RNA", at positions 1 to 269 of the family's 1533-position model. Lineage: Bacteria; Pseudomonadati; Pseudomonadota; Alphaproteobacteria; Hyphomicrobiales; Rhizobiaceae. The record is from RNAcentral.